AGUGAACGCUGGCGAUAGGCCUAACACAUGCAAGUCGAACGGCAGCACAGUAAGAGCUUGCUCUUACGGGUGGCGAGUGGCGGACGGGUGAGGAAUACAUCGGAAUCUACUUUUUCGUGGGGGAUAACGUAGGGAAACUUACGCUAAUACCGCAUACGACCUACGGGUGAAAGCAGGGGAUCUUAGGACCUUGCGCGAUUGAAUGAGCCGAUGUCGGAUUAGCUAGUUGGCGGGGUAAAGGCCCACCAAGGCGACGAUCCGUAGCUGGUCUGAGAGGAUGAUCAGCCACACUGGAACUGAGACACGGUCCAGACUCCUACGGGAGGCAGCAGUGUGGAAUAUUGGACAAUGGGCGCAAGCCUGAUCCAGCCAUACCGCGUGGGUGAAGAAGGCCUUCGGGUUGUAAAGCCCUUUUGUUGGGAAAGAAAAGCAGCAGGUUAAUACCCCGCUGUUCUGACGGUACCCAAAGAAUAAGCACCGGCUAACUUCGUG
Molecule: ribosomal RNA, 492 nt
Filed under: uncultured bacterium
Lineage: Bacteria
Description: partial 16S ribosomal RNA
Rfam family: Bacterial small subunit ribosomal RNA
Source: RNAcentral